CUCCAUACCAUGCUAACAGUGCCCUUGGUGACUUCGUUAACUCCAAAACCCUUGCCAUUGGAACUGGAAUUACUCCAUUCAGUUUAUUCCUAUGUAAAAUGUUCUUCAAGAAACACAACGAUUACAAGAUAUGUUGGACUACUCUUUUCCGCAUGGAAGUGGCAAGCCGCUGGAGAUAUUAGCAAAGCUAAAUGAGUUGGUUUGCUUUUCACCUGAUGAAAACAUUGGUCUUUUUUAUGCUAAUUUUUCAUCUUCUCUUGCUGCACAGUUUUUAACUCAAAACAAAUGGUUAAUAAUGAAGUUGAAGCAACUAUAUAUACCAUGGGAAAAUGUUAGUAUGUGAUAAGACUGAUCUGAGAAUAUUAUAUCUGUGAUAUCUCACAUAUGGUUCAUAUACAUCUAUUUCUUAUCU
This is a long non-coding RNA of Lycium ferocissimum, 412 nucleotides long. RefSeq lists it as uncharacterized. The transcript has 3 exons. The record is from RefSeq and is a predicted model, not a curated record. NCBI's taxonomy places the organism in Eukaryota, Viridiplantae, Streptophyta, Magnoliopsida, Solanales, Solanaceae.